UGGCUCAGGAUGAACGCUAGCGGCAGGCCUAAUACAUGCAAGUCGAACGGUCUUUAGCAAUAGAGAUAGUGGCGCACGGGUGCGUAACGCGUAACCAACCUACCUGAAUCUGGGGGAUAGCCCGCCGAAAGGCGGAUUAAUACCGCAUAAAMCCACAGARYGGCAUCRUUUAAUKGKUAAAGAUUUAUUGGAUUCAGAUGGGGUUGCGUGCCAUUAGCUAGUUGGGGAGGUAACGGCUCACCAAGGCGACGAUGGCUAGGGGAGCUGAGAGGCUGGUCCCCCACACGGGCACUGAGAUACGGGCCCGACUCCUACGGGAGGCAGCAGUAGGGAAUAUUGGGCAAUGGGCGAGAGCCUGACCCAGCCAUGCCGCGUGCAGGAUGAAGGCUUUCUGAGUCGUAAACUGCUU
This 409-nucleotide ribosomal RNA is filed under the name Hymenobacter sp. R-41448. Its description in RNAcentral is "bacterial SSU rRNA". It matches the Rfam family "Bacterial small subunit ribosomal RNA", at positions 20 to 435 of the family's 1533-position model. The record is from RNAcentral. Lineage: Bacteria; Pseudomonadati; Bacteroidota; Cytophagia; Cytophagales; Hymenobacteraceae.